UUAUACAAUCAAUCCUUACAUGAAAAUAUAGCUCAUUUACUAUGCGGCUAUAUAGAUUUACAUAAGCAAAUGCUUAUAUGGUCAGUUUUGGUUGUUGCGGACAAAUAAUUUAUUAUAUGAGUCAGUCUGAGGUAUGAAAACUACUGAAUUUUGUUUACGAUUCAAUAUUUUGAAUAAAAAAAGGACAUGCUGGCACUCUAAAUUGAUGCGAACAAAAUUUUUUAGUCAUAAUAUUCAAAUAUUGCUACCUAUUUUCUUAUACAAUCAAUCCUUACAUGAAAAUAUAACUCAUUUACUAUGUGGCUAUAUAGAUUUACAUAAUAAAAUGCUUAUAUGGUCAGUUUUGGUUGUUGCGGACAAAUAAUUUUAUUAUAUGAGUCAGUCUGAGGUAUGAAAACUACUGAAUUUUGUUUACGAUUCAAAAUUUUGAAUAAAAAAAGGACAUGCUGGCACUCUAAUUUGAUGCGAACAAAAUUUUUUAGUCAUAAUAUUCAAAUAUUGCUACCUAUUUUCUUAUACAAUCAAUCCUUACAUGAAAAUAUAACUCAUUUACUAUGCGGCUAUAUAGAUUUACAUAAUAAAAUGCUUAUAUGGUCAGUUUUGGUUGUUGCGGACAAAUAAUUUUAUUAUAUGAGUCAGUCUGAGGUAUGAAAACUACUGAAUUUUGUUUACGAUUCAAUAUUUUAAAUAAAAAAGGACAUGCUGGCACUCUAAAUUGAUGGGAACAAAAUUUUUUUAAUCAUAAUAUUCAAAUAUAUCUACCUUUUUUAUUAUACAAUCAAUCCUUACUUGAAAAUAUAACUCAUUUACUAUGCAGCUAUAUAGAUUUACAUACUAGAAUGCUUAUAUGGUCAGUUUUGGUUGUUGCGGACAAAUAUUUUUAUUAUAUGAGUCAGUCUGAGGUAUGAAAACUACUGAAUUUUGUUUACGAUUCAAUAUUUUGAAUAAAAAAGGACAUGCUGGCACUCUAAAUUGAUGCGAACAAAAUUUUUUUAAUCAUAAUAUUCAAAUAUUGCUACCUAUUUUUUAUACAAUCAAUCCUUACAUGAAAAUAUAACUCAUUUACUAUGCGGCUAUAUAGAUUUACAUACUAGAAUGCUUAUAUGGUCAGUUUUGGUUGUUGCGGACAAAUAAUUUUAUUAUAUGAGUCAGUCUGAGGUAUGAAAACUACUGAAUUUUGUUUACGAUUCAAUAUUUUGAAUAAAAAAAAGGACAUGCUGGCACUCUAAAUUGAUGCGAACAAAAUUUUUUUAGUCAUAAUAUUCAAAUAUUGCUACCUAUUUUCUUAUACAAUCAAUCCUUACAUGAAAAUAUAACUCAUUUACUAUGCGGCUAUAUAGAUUUACAUAAUAAAAUGCUUAUAUGGUCAGUUUUGGUUGUUGCGGACAAAUAAUUUUAUUAUAUGAGUCAGUCUGAGGUAUGAAAACUACUGAAUUUUGUUUACGAUUCAAUAUUUUAAAUAAAAAAAAGGACAUGCUGGCACUCUAAAUUGAUGCGAACAAAAUUUUUUUAAUCAUAAUAUUCAAAUAUUGCUACCUUUUUUAUUAUACAAUCAAUCCUUACUUGAAAAUAUAACUCAUUUACUAUGCGGCUAUAUAGAUUUACAUACUAGAAUGCUUAUAUGGUCAGUUUUGGUUGUUGCGGACAAAUAAUUUUUAUUAUAUGAGUCAGUCUGAGGUAUGAAAACUACUGAAUUUUGUUUACGAUUCAAUAUUUUGAAUAAAAAAGGACAUGCUGGCACUCUAAAUUGAUGCGAACAAAAUUUUUUUAGUCAUAAUAUUCAAAUAUUGCUACCUAUUUUCUUAUACAAUCAAUCCUUACAUGAAAAUAUAACUCAUUUACUAUGCGGCUAUAUAGAUUUACAUAAGCAAAUGCUUAUAUGGUCAGUUUUGGUUGUUGCGGACAAAUAAUUUUAUUAUAUGAGUCAGUCUGAGGUAUGAAAACUACUGAAUUUUGUUUACGAUUCAAUAUUUUGAAUAAAAAAGGACAUGCUGGCACUCUAAAUUGAUGCGAACAAAAUUUUUUAGUCAUAAUAUUCAAAUAUUGCUACCUAUUUUCUUAUACAAUCAAUCCUUACAUGAAAAUAUAACUCAUUUACUAUGCGGCUAUAUAGAUUUACAU
Molecule: long non-coding RNA, 2121 nt
Filed under: Mytilus galloprovincialis (Mediterranean mussel)
Lineage: Eukaryota; Metazoa; Mollusca; Bivalvia; Mytilida; Mytilidae
Source: RNAcentral